UAUUUAAGUUGUUGCAGUUAAAAAGCUCGUAGUUGGAUUUCGGUUGAGAACGGCCGGUCCGCCGUUUGGUGUGCACUGGCUGGUUUCAACUUCCUGUAGAGGACGCGCUCUGGCUUCACGGCUGGACGCGGAGUCUACGUGGUUACUUUGAAAAAAUUAGAGUGUUCAAAGCGGGCUUACGCUUGAAUAUUUCAGCAUGGAAUAACACUAUAGGACUCCUGUCCUAUUUCGUUGGUCUCGGGACGGGAGUAACGAUUAAGAGGAACAGUUGGGGGCAUUCGUAUUUCAUUGUCAGAGGUGAAAUUCUUGGAUUUAUGAAAGACGAACUUCUGCGAAAGCAUUUGCCAAGGAUGUUUUCAUUAAUCAAGAACGAAAGUUGGGGGCUCGAAGAUGAUUAGAUACCAUCCUAGUCUCAACCAUAAACGAUGCCGACUAGGGAUUGCAGGAUGUUAAUUGAUGACUCCUGCAGCACCUUAUGAGAAAUCAAAGUUUUUGGGUUCCGGGGGGAGUAUGGUCGCAAGGCUGAAACUUAAAGGAAUUGACGGAAG
Molecule: ribosomal RNA, 548 nt
Filed under: uncultured Chlorophyta
Lineage: Eukaryota; Viridiplantae; Chlorophyta
Description: SSU rRNA
Rfam family: Eukaryotic small subunit ribosomal RNA
Source: RNAcentral